UUUUUUUUUUUGUUCAUAUAUAUUUUUACAAUUUUGUGUAUGCUUGAUUGCUGGUUGUUAUUUGCAUGGCAAUUUAGGGCUUGAGGUAUUAAGGUUUCUGAUUUAGAAGUUAGGGUUAGGGUUUCGAACGUUAGGGUUUCAGGUUGGAUGGUGAGGUUGAGGAUGAGUCAACUCGUCUUUGACUCGAGUGAGUUGAGUGAAUUCAGAGGAUCACGAGCGAGCCACAUAGGCUUUAUCACGUGUCUAGGUCACGUGUGGGCUUUGGGACUCAUGAAAACAGACUUGAGUGAAUCGGGUCUGAGUUUGUUUUCGAAAAAUGGGCUUUGAUUAAGUUUUAAAACGGGUCGACCUGGUUCAGAAAAAAUAGGGCCCAGGUCAUUUUUAAAAUGGGUCGGCCCACUUUCCCUUUUUUAAAAAAUAAGGCCCGGGUUUAUUUAAAUGGUUAGGCUCAGAUUGAGUUUUAAAACGGGUCGGCUCACUUCAGAAAAAAUAAAGGCCUGAAUUUAUUUAAAUGGUCGGACUCAGAUUGAGUUUUAAAACGGGCUGACCCACUUCAGAAAAAAUAGGGUCUAGGUCACUUUUAAAACAAGCCGGUUUCUUUUAAAAUAGAUUUGGGGUUUUGGUUUUAAAAAUGAACAGGCCUGAUUUUUUUUUUUAAAUAGUUGUUGGGCUUUGUGUAAAACAAUUGGUUUCAGGUUCUUUUAAAACGGGCUCUGGGAAUAAAUGCGCCCCCCCCUUUUUUCUUUUCCUCAAGUUUAGAUAUUAUGACUGCUCCACGUCUCUCAAAAUCUGUCUCAGGAUUUUUUUCGCCGCCUUGUGAACAUAAUCCUCCAUUGACAGCUGGAGGACUUCUCAAUGCACAUCAACCCUCUCUUCAUUCUGUCAUUCACACACUUUAAAACAUAUACAACUGGGCAGUCUCAAUAUUGUUCUAUUUAACCAACUUCCUCUCACACCUAAACACUACAGGCGAAUUCCCCGUAUAACUUCAACCCAUCUUUGGCCACCCUCUGUUAUGGCAACCGCGCCUUAACCAUUUAAAAAAAAAAAAAAAUACUCUCAAUCAUUUCUCAUGGCAGGGGCUUCAUCUUCCAAACAGGUUCCUUAUUUGAAUAUGGCAUCGGAGGUACCAACUCGUCCUAGUGUCCUUGGCUCCUUCCAUCUCCCUCCUCAGUUUCAAAAUUAAAUGCUGAGGAAUGAGACAGUAUUGGUCACGAUGUCUUAUGCCGGUGUAGCCACCCAGACACUCUACCAUAGUGCCCAAACAAUGACCUCGAUAUCUCACUUAGCCCGUCGUUUGCAGAAACAGAACGAAACCGCGACCCUCCUCGAAAAUGAAGCCUACCUCUUACGGCAGAAGUACUAAGAGGAACAAUAGAAGAUGAGGGACUUAAGGCAAGAAAAUAAGAUGCUGAAACGGGAGGUCAAAGAUUUGAGAAAAAUGGUGGCCGUUUAUUCCAACGACCUUGGGUGUAAAAUAGUCGAGUUGGAGAAAAGUCGGGAGGACAUCCAGCGGGAGCAUAAAUGGCCCAAAACCAUAGUGCAUGAAAAAGGUCAGACUUCUCAUUUCUCAAACUGAAAAGGUAAGUGGAGAGGCAUGAAGAGCCGUGAUGUUAUGUGUUUAUGUUGCCAUACGUGGCGUGUAUAUGUACACCCCCCCCCCCCCCCCGUUUUUUUUUUGAAAAGUUUUGAUUUGGUUUUGGGAGAGUUUUGGUUUAAUUAUUGUAAUCUCCCAGAACUGUAACUGUAACCACGGUAUUCCUCCACCAUAAGUGAGGAUAAUUAAUAAAAUUUGGGUGGUUUUUUUUUUUUUACUGAGGACAAGAAUAUUGCUGGUACACCGAACCGGGUUAUAAUAUCCUCCGAAUGACUUGCUAUGGAUGUAAAAAUUUGGGCCAUGGGGGUACAAUGACCCAAACCUCUAUGAUGGUUGGCUAUGGAUGUAGGAAUCUAGGCCACAUGGGUACGAUGACCCAAACCUUUAUGUCGGUUUGCUGCAGAUGUAGGAAUCUGAGUCACAUGGGUAUGAUAACGCAAACCUUGGUGUCGGUUUGCUGCGGAUGUAGGAAUCUGAGCAACAUGGGUACGAUGACCCAAAAUUUUGUGUCGGUUUGCUGUGAGCGUGGGAGUCCGAGCCGUGGGUGUACGAUGACCCAAACCUCUGUGUCGGUUUGCUGCAGAUGUAGGAAUCCGAGCCGUAGGGGUACGAUGACCCAAACCUUUGUGUCAGUUUACUGCAGAUGUAGGAAUCCGAGCCGUGGGGGUACGAUGACCCAAACUUCUAUGUCGGUUUGCUUUGGAUGUAGGAAUCCGAGCUGUAGGGGUACGAUGACCCAAACCCUUGUGUUAGUUUGCUACAGAUGUAGGAAUCUGAGCCAUGGGGGUACGAUGACCCAAACCUCUGUGUCAAUUUGCUUUGGAUGUAGGAAUCUGAGCCGUAGGGGUACGAUGACCCAAACCUUUGUGUCGGUUUGCUGCAGAUGUAGGAAUCCGUGCCGUGGGGGCACGAUGACCCAAACAUCUGUGUUAGUUUGCUUUGGAUGUAGGAAUCCAAGCCGUAGGGGUAUGAUGACCGAAACCUUUGCGUCAGUUUGUUGCAGAUGUAGGAGUCCGAGCCGUGGGGGUACGAUGACCCAAACCUCUGUGUCGGUUUGCUGCGGAUGUAGGAAUCCGAGCCGUAGGGGUACGAUGACCCAAACCUUUGUGUCGGUUUUCUGCAAAUGUAGGAAUCUGAGCCGUGGGGGUACAAUGACCCAAACCUCUAUGUUGGCUUGCUGCGGAUGGAGGAAUCCGAGUCGUAGGGGUACGAUGACCCAAGCCAAAAUUUUUGGGUAGGAAAUCUCGUGUUGGAAAAAUCACUACUUUGAGAUUCCUUUUUUUUUUUCCUCUCUUUUUUUUGCUGGCUUUAGAUUACCUACUUUGAGACUCAACAACCAAUGCCUCAAUUGAUUCUUGGGGUCAACUGCCACAAUUUCAAAUAUGUCAAGACAAGAAUAGCUCAAUCAAGGAUGCAAAAUGAUUAUUCAAAAGUUUAUUUAACCAGACAAGUAUAAAUGAAUGGUACUCCAUUGCUAUAUGUAUGCAUGUUGCUACCUGAGAUGCCAGAAUGCAAUGAUAUGUUACCAUGUGUACGUGUACAUAAUAAUGUAUGAGUGCAAAGAUGUAUGCACAUUGUAUGAGAUGUCCUUUGUAUUUUCUUUCUCAUGCAAUGCAAGGAAUGCAUGCUAAUGCAUGAACUUUCCUUCCUCCAACAUGCCUGUAAUGGACAACCCUAUCCUUAUCCUUGGCCAUUUUCAAAUUUCGAUCCAAUAUAAGGGUCCCUGAAUUGAUUCAUUAAAAAUGCAUCUCGUCAUUUUCCCGAAUUACAUUGGUUUGUGCCUGCUCUCGGCCAUGUUUUCAAAUCCCUAGUAGCCGAGGAUUCUAGACAUGUUUCAAAUUCCAAAAGUGCUCAAAAUCUACCCCAAUGUUUACCUGCCAUUGAUCUUGGCUAUAUCUUCAUCUUGUGUUUUGAUAUAAAGGCAUCAAAAUCAGUUUAGACAAAACUCAACCCAAAAUCUGUCCCAGUUACCAUCAUUGCUAGCCCUGCUCCCCUUUCAAAUUCAAUAGACGUCCAAAAUUUGCCCCCAGUAUCGAGAACUCUUUAGUUUUUUUUUUUUUUUUGAAUGUCCAUUUUUUAGGGAUUUGAAAAACAAAAGGAUUUUUGAUUAUGCAUUUAUGACAUUAAUUUGCUGACUCAGUGAAUUAGACUAUGCAAAAUAAUUCUUUUUCUAUGUUCAGAAAUUAUUUUGGGAAGAGGGUAAACUCGACACCAGUGCCCUUUGUCAAGGUGAUGACGUCAAUUUAUAAAGCCAAAAAAACUCUUCCCUUUACAAGAACUGCCGUUUUUCACCGAAAAGAACUCAUUCCUCCUUUUGACACUAUAAAACCGAAUGAUACUCUUCGUUCAUUUGUUUGUCCAUGGCCCGAUUGGGCAUUGUUCAUGUUUUAAUCUCUAAAUGGUCUUUAAGACUUGGGACGAAACAUUGGCUUUAAGGAUGAGGGCUUUCAGAAGAAUGAGAAAACUAAAGCUCAAAGUCCCACCCCCAGAUGAAUGUGUAUUCCCCCAGUUUGGGGUUUUUGUAAGCAUUGAUCGAGCUUGUUAAUUUGAACAAGCUGCCUAUGUACUUUUACAGGAUCAAGUCAUUACGUUGUUCAAACUUAAUAUUGAGUCUGACAAAUCAUUUUAGGCAACAACAUAUGCCAAUCUGGUCAAGUCUUUUCAUUCGGGUUGUAAUGUAUGCUGUGGGUAUUGGUUAAAGAAGAAAUGGUGCAUGAGGCUCGAACUUAUAAAUUUUACCAAAGAGGGAAUUGGCCAAAGAUCACAAACGAAGCAUAUCUCCUACCUCGCCUUUGCUUUGAUUUUCCCCUUUGUUCUUUUGCUGCAUUUUCCUUUUUUUUUUUUUAGGUUUCGUUCGGGAUUAGUCUUUCCAAAACUGUCCCAGUGUGGGGUGUGAUUCUUUGGCGGAUUUAAACAAAAGAUUAAACAUUUUCAGGCACAAUAGAGGGUAGCAAGGGGUGUUUUCUUUCUCUAACUUUUGGGUAGCAGAAAAAUGACAUGCCGUCAUUUUGGCACUGCGUUAUUGCCUCGCAUGAUUUUCUUGACUUUUGAAAAUCUUAACCUAGUUUAAAUUUGGGAAAUGACUUUUGAAGAAAAUGGCUUGACUUUUAAGUUCAAAAGGGUUUUCCAAGUGAUAGACAAAUUUUAGUUUUUUUAAGGGGUAACUGGUCAGCCAAAAAUGACCAUCUAUCAUCUAAUCAAAAUACGAACAAAUAGAGGGAGCAUGGAAUAGCAACAUGAUCAAUUUAUUGCUUUCUUUGGAGAGUGUACAAGGCCUCUAAGCAUAAUAUUUCUUUAUAGCAUCACAAUUAACAAGGUGUAGGAGCUCGGCUCCAUCCAUGUCUGCUAGCAACAAGGCGCCUCCUGAGAAUGCCCUUUUUACCACAUAAGGCCCUUCGUAAUUAGGUGUCCAUUUACCGCGGGGAUCCAUAUGGAUUGGCAAAAUCUUUCUCAAUACUAAAUCCCCUUCCUGGAAUUACCGAGGUCGCAUCUUGUUGAAUGCCCUCAUCAUCCUUUUCUGGUACAACUGCCCAUGAGCUAUUGCAGUCAUCCUUUUUUCCUUAAUCAAGUUCAACUGAUCAUACCAAGAUUGUAUCCAUUCUACUUCGGUCAACUUUGCUUCCUUCAGAACCCGUAGGGAUGGGAUUUCAACCUCUAUCGGGACCACAACCUCCGUCCCGUACACUAGUAAGAAAGGAGUGGCACCUGUUGAGGUUCGAACUGUGGUUCUGUAUGCCAUUAAGGCAAAAGGGAGCUUGUCAUGCCAAUCUUUGUAGGUUUUCGUCAUCUUUUCCACGAUACUCUUGAUGUUCUUAUUGGCUGCUUCCACUGCCCCAUUCAUCUGUGGUCUAUAAGGAGCCGAAUUAUAGUGCCUAACCUUGAACUAAUUACACAACUUUGUUAUUACUUUGUUAUUCAGGUUCUUGGGAUUAUUUGUGAUUAUCCUUUCGGGAACUCCAUACCGGCAAAUUAACUCCCUCUUUAUGAAACGACUGACCACGUUCUGUGUGACACUAGAGUAUGACGCCGCCUCUACCCAUUUUGUGAAAUAGUGAAUUGCCACAAAGAUGAAACGGUACCCAUUGCUGGCUUUCGGAGUAAUCGGCCCAAUCAUGUCCAUGCCCCAGGCUGAGAAGGGCCAAGGUGCGGAUAGGGCAUGGAGCGGGGCUGGUGGAACUUGAAUUCGGUCUCUGUAAAUUUGGCAUUUAUGGCACUUUCGGGCAUAUUCAAUGCAAUCCCUUUCCAUUGUCAUCCAGUAAUAUCCACUCCUGAGGAUUUUUCACGCCAAUGAGUGAUCCCCGGCAUGAGUACCACAUACUCCCUCGUGGACCUCAUGCAUGAUGUGUCGUGCUUCCUGCUCUUCUACACAAUGUAGAAGGGUCAUAUCGUGGUUCCUUUUGUAUAACACCUCACCAUCCAUGAAGAAUCCCAUGACCAACCUCUUGAUCAUCUUUCGGUCAUUGCUGGUUGCUCCUUCAAGGUACUCAUUUUGCUGGAUGUAUGUCCGAAUGUCAUGGAACCAGGGCUUUCCGUUAGCUUCUUCUACCACUGCAUAGUGAGCGGGCUCUAAUGGUAUUCUGAUUUGAAUCGGAUCAAUCUCCACUCCAGGUUCUACUUUGAUCAAAGUCGCUAGGGUUGCCAGGGCAUCAGGACAUAAAUUGUUUUCCCUUGGUAGGUGUGAGAACCUAAUGCUAUCAAAUUCUUUGAUCAUAUCUUGAAUGUACUCUUGAUAUGGCACCAAUUUGGAAUCCUAGGUUUCCCAGUCUCCUGUCACUUAAUGAACAACCAAGGCUGAAUCUCCCUUCACGACUAAUUCUUUGAUAUCUCGAUCCAUGGCGGCUUGUAAACCCAAUAUAGACGCUUCAUAUUCUACUCUGUUAUUGGUGAACGGAAAAAUCAGCUUGGCUACGCCGAAUAAUGCCUCCAUUCUGGUGAUAUGAGUACGACUCCUAUUCCAUGUCCCCACACAUUGACCGCCCCAUCAAAUAACAUCUUCCAUCCUUCGUAAUCUUCUUCUUCUUGGCUUAUCAAAUCGAUAUCCUUAUUUGGGAAGUCAAACUCCAUAGGCUGGUAAUCUUCCACAGCUCUAUCUGCCAGAUACUCCGCAAUGACGCUUCCUUUAAUAGCUUUUCGAGUCACAUAGGUGAUAUCAUAUUCAGUCAAGAACAUCUGCCACCGUGCAACCCGUCCUGUUACCAUGGGCUUUUCAAAGAUGAACUUGAUCGCGUCCAUUUUGGAAAUCAGCCAGGUCGAGUAAUACAAUGUGUAUUGUUUCAGCCUACUGACUAUCCAAACUAGAGCACAACAUGUUUUCUCCAAGUCCGAGUACUUAAAUUCAUAUUCUGUGAACUUUCUGCUAAGGUAAUAAAUGGCCCUUUCUUUUCUUCCCGACUUAUCAUGAUGGCCCAAUACACAACCCAUGGAAUUUUUUUAUAUUGCCAAGUACAGAAUCAGCGGCCUUCCCGGCACCUAGGGUACUAGCACCAGGGGGUUCAGGAGGUAUUCCUUUAUUUUCUCAAAAGCUUCUUGGCAUUCCUCAUUCCACCUCUCGGGGUUAUUUUUUCUUAACAACUUAAAAUGGGUUCACAGGUAGCAGUUAGUUGGGAUAUGAAUCGAGCUAUGUAAUUGAGCCUACCCAAGAAACUCCUCACCUUCUUUUCAGUCUUGACACUAGGCAUUUCUUGAAUGGCUCUGAUUUUAUCAAAUUUGACUUCGAUUCCUUUCUCGCUUACAAUAAACCCCAAUAAUUUUCUAGAAGUAGUGCCAAAGGCGCACUUUUCCAGGUUCAGUUUUAAUUGGCAUUUUCGGAGCCUUUUGAAUAACCUCUCCAAGUUCAUCACGUGGUCACCGUCAUUUUGUGACUUGACGAUUAUAUCAUCCACAUACACCUUAUUUCUUUGUGCAUUAAGUCAUGGAAUAGAGUCACCAUAGCUCUUUGGUAGGUAGCCCCAACAUUCUUUAGACCAAAUGGCAUGACCUUAUAACAAAAAGUCCCCUAUAAUGUGAUAAAAGUGGUUUUUUCCUUAUCCUCUGGUGCCAUCUUGAUUUGAUUAUACCCUGAAAAACCAUCUAUGAAGGAAAAUAAAGCAUGCCCCGUGGUGUUGUCCACCAAAACAUCAAUGUGCGGGAGCGGGAAAUUGUCUUUGGAGCUAGCUUUAUUUAGGUCCUGGUAGUCCACGCAAACUCGUACUUUGCCAUUCUUUUUCAUUAUUGGAAUGACGUUGGUCAUCCAUUCAGGAUAUUGGGCUACCUCUAAAAACCCAGCUUCAAAUUGUUUUUGCACCUCUUCUUUUAUCUUAAGCAACAUCUCUGGCUGCAUUCUCCUUAACUUUUGCUUGACCGGCUUCGAACUUGGGUAGAGGGGAAUCUUGUGGGUUACCAAAACCGUGUCUAGACCGGGCAUGUCCUAAUAUGACCAAGCGAACACAUCUUGGUAUUCUUUUGACAGUUUAGUUAUUUUGCUCCUUUCCUCACCCCUCAGUAGUGCUCCAAUCUUUACUUGUUUAGGCCCCUCUUUAGUUCCCAGGUUGAUUAUAGUGGUGGGGUUACUACUAGUCAAUGUUGGCUUUUCAUCUGACUUCAACAUUCUUUCCAUUUCAGGAGAUAAAUUCACCUCACCUUCUUCAAUUUCGGUUUCAUGAAUUAUAUUUUCAAAAUUAAUGUCAAUUUCUUUAUCAAGGGUACUAGUGUCAUUAUCUCUCCUAUUCCUGCAUGAAGUCAUAGCAAACAAAUUUUGACAGCUGAAACAGGGAUGCAAACAAAUGUCAAAAAGUGCAUAAUUUUUUAUUAACUGAGAAGAAAUUGCCUAUGACUAUAAUUUAAAAUGAAAAAUUAGAAAUAAAAGAAAUCAUUACAUGAAGAAAAUGGGACAAUCAAAAGAACUCCAAUUGUGCAGUUCCUCUCCUAGUUGAAGAUGGCCGACCCAUUUGUCUGAGGUGGCUGAUGAAACCUUUGAAUCUAGAACAGAUAUGCUCAGCUGUCUCAUUUCAGACUCAAGAUCAUCUUGACUGCUUUUUAUGAAUGUCUGAUUGACAUGAGGGACGCCUGACCUCCACCGAGCGUUGGUAUCACCAGUGAGUCUUUCCCUUCUCUAAGCUUCUUUUUCCGCUUUCUUCUUUUUCCUGUCUACAAACAUAGGCCUAUAUCCCAGACCGUAUCUGUCUUUCAUUUCUGGAAUUACCAGUGGCUUCAAAAUCCCCUGUAAACAUCUUCCCAGCCCUUGACCCGUAUGAUACCCAUGUCUGAUCAGUUCUGUCACAAUCCUGCGAGCUGUUGAGGAAACUCGUGGUUGUGGGAUUUAGGAACCCUUCGACCACAGUUGCUGCAUUGAUUAUUUCAAAGGCUCGAAAUGAAUCCUUUAGGGCUUCUCUGGCAACUUCCACAUAAGGGGUGGAAGUGGGUUUGGUUACCAUCAAGUCUGUUUCUCCGUAUACGCAAACCAAUUUCCCAUCCACUACAAAUUUGAUCCGUUGGUGCAAAGAAGACAGAACUGCCCCGGUGUUAUGUAUCCACAGCCUCCCCAAUAAGCAGCUAUAAGACAGGGUUAUGACCAUGACUUAGAGAAUGUAAUGUCGAAGGUGACCGGUCCAAUUUGCACAGGAAUUUCAAUAGAUCCCACCGAUUCUCUACGGGUGCCGUUGAAAACCCGCACAGUUAGAUUGUUUUGCCUUAUGUAGGACGGGUCAAUAGGCAGUUUUUGUAGGGUCGUCAUGGGCAUGACAUUCAAAGAUGACCCAUUAUGAAUCAACACUCGUGCAAUCAUGUGAUCUCGGCAUUUAGCAGAAACGUGCAACACCUGAUUAUGCCCCUGUUCUUCCACGGGGAUCACCUCAUCAGCGAAUGUAAUGUAGUUGGUAGUCGUAAGACCACCAAUCACGUGGUUAAAAUUAUUGAUGCUGAUGUCUUGGGGAGUAUAGGCUUGAUUAAGGGCCUUUAAUAGAGCUUCCCGAUGGGCUUCCGAGCUCAACAACAGCGACAAGAUAAAGAUAUGGGCUGACAUCCUCUUUAGUUGGUCAAUGAUGUUGUAUUCACUGUGUUUAAUUAUUUUCAAGAAUUCCGCGGCUUCCUGAGAUUGAACCGACUUCUUCAGGUUCCUAUUCUAUUCUUGGCUAGGCUGCUCUUUCUCUGAGACCUAUGGCGUAUAAACCCUUCCACUUCUGGUUAUCCCUCUUGCUUCAGUGGCACUGCUAGUUUCUCCUUCAAUGUGUACUUCACAAUUGUACCUCCAUGACAUUGCCCGGUCACUGCGGUAUGUGAAAGGGAGAGGGGCUACGAUCACUACCCAAACUAGGGCGUCUGGGACUUGUGGGGUUUUUCCCAUGAUGGGGAUUAAUGUUUUGUUGGUGAAUUGGGGAUGGUCAAAUUCCCCUAUAAUUGAAACUUCAUUCGUUUUUUGAAUGCGUCAAACUUCCAUUCGUUUGCUAUCAAUCAAGUUACUUAGAUAAAUCCAGAAAGUCCCACAUUGUUGUACUGAUCCUUUCAUAGUAUUUUGGCAUGCGCAUGGGGUGCCUUUAGGGAAAAUAGCCUUUAGUCCUGCUAGGCCUGCCGUUGUUAGUUCACCAUACACCCAGUCUAGCGUCAUUUGUUCCCAUCUUCUUUCUGAUUUUUCCCCAGCUUCUUCUUCGAUCAUUCCAACAUUAUCCCUUCCAUGGUUAGGCAAGUGAUUUUCAUGAAUACCAAUUGGCUUCCCAUCGAGUGACAACCAACUAGCAUCCCUUAGAUCUUGCACCUUGUGUUUGAAGGCCCAACACUAGUCAAUAAGGUGCCCCAGAGAAUCAGCAUGGUACGCGCAUUGGACCUCGAGAUUAUACCAGUGCGGGGGAGGAUUGGUGAGAGGAAUCCCGGGGAUGGAAGAUAUCAUCUUCUAGAAGAUGAGGGAAUAGGUUUGCGUACAACAUGGGAAUUGGGUCCACUCUCCGAAAACUCUUGGGUGUAUUUCUCGUGUGUGUCUGUUGGCUCGGGUGGGCUGGUAUGUUCUGCUGGGUUGGCACAUGCGCGGGCCACAAACUGGGGCCUGGUGCUUACGUAUGCUGCUUGAUUCACUGCAGGUUCGACUGCAAAGUUUCGGUUGGACCAUGGACUACGACCCUUUGUAUUUUUUUUGUUAGAUGGUCCCUAAACCAUCUGAGUCUCUUCAUCCUUCUUUUUUCUGGUCCACUUCCUACUUGGACCACUUUCAAUGCUACUUUCUUCGACACGACUUGCUUUAAUGUCGGCCUUGAUCCCCCCUGCGAUUACUAUGUCCAUAAAGUCAUGGGGAGUUGCCCCCCUUAAAUGCCCUCAGUAUGGUUCCUUCAAAGUUUUAACAAAAAGGGAAAUUGCUUCUCGGUCACCCACCGGGGGGUCAACUUAGACUACUAGGUCUCGCCAUAUGUAGGCGUAUUCUCAGAACGUCUCAGCAUGCUUCUUCUCCAUUUCAAGCAGGGCCAUUCGGUAAGGGCCAUUUCCAUCACAUGUCGAUAGUGGGCUACAAAGGUGGUAGCUAGGUCUCCCCACGUUCGGACCCGUGUUUUGUCUUGGUGGAUAUACCACCUGCCCCGCUGUCCCCGUCAAAUUGCUUCGGAAAUAGUGUAUCAUCAACUUUUCGUCAUCGGAGUAUGCGGCCAUUGCUUGGCAGUAUAACCGUAGGUGGGUUUGAGGGCAUUAAGUUCCAUCAAACUUCUCGAAUUCAGGCACCUUAAACUUUGGUGGGAGCACCACCUUGGGCACUAAGCAUAGAUCCGCAGGGUUGAGAGAAUUUGAUGUGCGGGUCCCUUCGAUGGCUUUCAAUCACUCUUCAAGCUCGUCACAAUGGUAUUCAGUUGUGGUGUUGCCUGUUCCUAUAACUGCCGUCAUUGUCGGGGGCAUCCCAUUUCCUCGAAUUGGUGCUGUCGGGACGAAGGUGGCUGUACUCGGAGGUGGUCCCUCUAAAAUAACCGGUGGCGGUCCAGAUGACUGCCCAUGGAUUGGUGUGAAGCCUGGAGGGUUGAUAGGAUCCAUAUCUACUUCAUGUUCCUAUUCUUGAACUGUCUUUCCCUUGCUCAGUAACAAAUCCAAAUUCUUUUCAUUUGGUUGCUCAGUUCCUCCUGUCCCUACUCGAUGCUUAGGACACGGAUUUCCAACUGUUCUGUCAUAGCUUUUGCUUUUCUGCAAGUGUUGUAAGGGUGUGUAGGUGCCUCAAUUUUUCCAAUCCUCAAUCACGCCUCUUUUCCUUCUGAACAUGAAACCCACGUCUUUUAGUACAAAUGUAUGAUAUGCCGUGAAUGUUUAUGCAAAUAUGUAUUUAGUGCAUAAAUGAGCAAAUACAAUUAUGUAGCCUAUGUGCUUCGACCAAGGUUCUAAAAAAAAUCAUCAUCAUUUCAUUAUAACUUUUCAUGGAAAACAUGGAUCUUUCGAAUGUACUACACAGACGGAGGAUUCUGAUUGUCCCAUUUGCUCUUGUUGAUGCAAUGCGAUCCUUCUUGGGCUGGCUUUGACCCUCUGGGUGUUGAUCUAUCCACUCUCUGCUUUAGUGCUUGGUAUUUGUCUUCCCAGUACCUGGCCUGUUCUGUGAAUGGUUCGGCCUUGUCCAAUGCCUGGCUAAAGGUCCUCCUCUAUUUAUCCCAUUGGUUGUCUAAUUCUUGAAUGCGGAGGGUUCUCUUUUCAAUUUCAACCUUUGCGCCUUUCAACGUUUUGGAUUUUUGAUCGAGUGUAGCUCAUAGCGUUUGUCUCUCUUUUCUAAAGGCCACUACCUCUUUUUCCGACAACACGAGCUGAGUUUUCUGCCGUUUGACUUUCUUAUGGUAAAAGGCCACCAACUCUUCCUUCCCUCGCUCUAUCCGUUGACUUUCUGAUACCAUUUCCUUCUUUGAGUGUGGCUCCAUUUGUAACUGUGGAUCCUUUGAUGACUGGCCAUGAGUAGCAAGGGCUCCGAAAGUUCCUUCGAAUUGGGGGUUCACCCGGUUGACCCGCCAUAUCUUGUAGCUCUCCUAAAUUGUAAUUGCUUCCUCACCUGGGUCUACCAAGUGCACGUGUUUCCAGGUCACUGUGAACUUCCUGAUUUGAUUUUGGGCAUUCGUUGCUGUAUAAGAGAAGUCUGAUUUUGCCAACCCAUGGGUUGCUGGCACAAAUUGAGAUGCCCCCAUUUACCUCCUGGCCAUCAGAGGAGCAUAUGCCACUCCUCCCCAUGGACCUAGUAAUGGGACCCAUGGGAGGUUUCCACACCAGUAUAUCAUGCUGGAAUGCUUCAUCCAUGGCGCUUGCCAAAUUAGACCCGAAUCUCUCAAUUUGUAUAAUUUUUCUUUCCAUACGGCCUUGCUCCAUUGGAUGAUCUGCUGAGCCCCUUCAAACUCUACUAAGGGAAUUCUGAGAGUUGAAAAGGUGUCACAGUACCCCCCUCGGUUACUUGGCAGGUGAUUGGCAAACCAAACAUAAAGUAAAGGAACACAACACUUCAAUCGUUCUUGACCCUUACCCCUGCAUUUGUUGAGGGAUCGGAAAGUUUCCGCCAAAAUGCCUGGGACUAGAUUAACUCCAUUCUUCACUUGUGCCACAAAAGAAAUGGUGGUUCAGUCGAUGGUCCCUAAUUCUUUCGGAAAAAUAACCAGACCAUAUAUGGUCAGGGCUAGCACAUGCAUAUGAGCCUCCUUACCUUCUUCUUCUUCCAACAAUUUUAGGUACUUCCAAGUGAUUUUCUCGUCUUCCCCUGCGGCUCGCUGAAUCUUGAUUACAGCAACAUUAUACAAUUCUUUUGCCAGAGAAGCUCGAGAAUCAGGCGUAUAAAUGUGAUAAGGUGACCGCUGUUUCAUCAAAUGUAGGAGUGACGUGUACUCUUCGAUUGUAGGAACCAUGUCUAUCCCAUUGACUAUGAAACAUGUGUACGGGGGAUUCCAGAAGUCGACUAAUGCCUUCACCAUCUGAAAGUUCACUGAUAUAUGCAACAGAAAACCGAUGUGGCCGUAUAACUGCGAGAACUCCAAACGGCGCUGUGGUUUCCACCCUUUCCAAAUAGUCUUUAGUUCAUCCAAUGGGUUUGACCGGGUAUAUAUGCAAACUUUGGCCAGUAACUUCACCACUGACUCUCUAUUCAGGCUGUCUCCCCAUUGUCUUUGUUGAUCUUCAGAAUAUAACCGUACCACAGAUUCGGUUUCCUAGUAAAUUAUUGCAUCCUCCAUGGAUGGCCCUGGUUUUUCUCGGAACCUUGGUAAAGCGGGUGGGAUGCCUAUAUGUAUGCAAUAUGUUAGUAAUACUACCAUGCAAUGUGUAUAGCCAUAAGAUCUCUUGGAGAAGGAUGGGGUUCUUAUCCCAAACCCGGGGUGGAUAUAUACAAGGCUCUUCGAGACUUUGUCCUAGGUGGGGGAUUUUGGAUAAGCACGUGUGAUUAAACUCUAUCCCUAUAGACAAAAGGUUCCCAAAUUAAAAUUCCAUCAUUAUAAAGGUCCGAACAAAGCUCACACUAAGCGGAGUGGUUCGCGGGUCCCAUUAAGCUUAAGCUACGAAGGGACAAACGCUAUUACACCCCUAUCUAAUCCUAAAAUGGAAAGCCCGGGUACACAACUGUGAAGGUGUGUGAGUUCGUCCAUUUUAUCCUACGUCCUCUACCCCACAUUCAUCCAUUCAUUAUUCAUAAUCUAAUACAUGCAACACAUCACAUGUUAGAAAUUUGUACAACUAAUCACAUGCUUACCAACCAAUCAUAUGCUCAACAUGGCACAUAUUUACAAGUAUCAAUUACCUCUUAUUUGAACAUAAAAGGUAGGUAAAAAAGUUAUGGUUAUUAAUAUGCACAAUUACUCACCUAUGCACUAUUAGUGUUAUCAAUUUGCACAAAAAGAAAAAGCGGGGGUAUUCAAAAGGUUCAUUAUAUUUGAAAUUGGGAUAAUUGACGAUUAAUCACUAACUCGACUCUCAAUGGUCCCCAGCGUAAUCGCCAAGCUGUCGCAACGUUCUCAAGUGGAACAAAGCGAAUGAAAAGUGAAUUUUAAAUUUUCAUGAAAAAUAGUGUAAUGAACUCGCCACUAACCUUUUAGUGUGGUUAGAACACUUGAUUACUACCCAAUUAAGGGUAGAAUUAGUCUGCAUUACCAGAGACGGGCUUAGGAGUACGGUUACGCAAGGGGAAGGUCUUUGCACCCCCUACACGCCCAUUCUUAUGAAUGGUACCAGAUUAAUUGAAAAUUAUCCCAAAAAUUAAUUUAAUUAGCCUUUAAAAUUACUCCCUUUUUUAAAAUUGUAAAACAAAUACAAAAAAAAAAAGAGGGGGGGGGGGUGUACAUUUACACGCCGCCUAUGGCAACAUAAACACAUAACAUCACAGUUCUUCAUGCCUCUCCACUUACCUUUUCAGGUUGAGAAACGAGAAGUCUGGCCUUUUUCAUUCAUUAUGGUUUUGAGCCAUUUAUGCUCCCACUGGAUGUCCUCCCGACUUUUCUCCAACUCGGCUAUUUUAGACACAAGGUCAUUGGAGUAAACGGCCACCAUUCUUCUCAAAUCUUCGACCUCCCGUUUCAGCAUCUUAUUUUCUUACCUUAAGUCCCUCAUCUUCUGUUGUUCCUCUUGGUAUUUUUGCCGUAAGAGGUAGACUUCAUUUCCAAGGAGGGUCGCGGUUUCAUUUUGUUUCUGCAAAUGACGGGCUAAGUGAGAUGUCGAGGUCAUUGUUUGGGCACUAUGAUAGAGUGCCUGGGUAGCUACAUCGACAUCAGACAUCGUGGCCAGUACUGUCUCAUUCCUCAACAUUUCAUUUUGAAACUAAGGAGGGAGCUGGAAGGAGCCAAGGACACUAGGACGAGUUGGCACCUCCGGUGCCACUUUCAAAUUAGGAACCCAUUUGGAAGAUGAAGCCCCUGCCAUGAGAAAUGAUUGAGAGUAUUUUUUUUUGAAAUGGUUAAGGCAUGGUUGCCAUAAUAGAGGGUGGCCAAAGAUGGGUUGUAGUUACACAGGGAGUUCGCCUGUAGUGUUUAGGUGUGAGAGGAAGUGGGUUAAAUAGAACAAUAUUGAGAUUGCCCAGCUGUGUAUGUUUUAAAGUGUGUGAAUGAUAGGAGGAAGAGAGGGUUGAUGUGCAUCGAGAAGUCCCCCAGUUGUGAGUGGAGGAUUAUGUUCACAAGGCGGCGAAAAAAAUCCCGAAACAGAUUUUGAGAGACGUGGAGCAGUCAUAAUAUCUAAACUUGAGGAAAAAAAAGAAAACGAAAAAAAGGGGGGGGGGGGUGCAUUUAUUCCUAGGGCCCAUUUUAAAAGAACCCGAAGCUAAUUGUUUUGCACAAAGCCCAACAACUAUUUAAAAAAAAAAAACCAGACUUGUUCAUUUUUAAAACCAAAACCCCAAAUCUAUUUUAAAAGAAACCGGCCCGUUUUAAAAGUGACUCAGGCCCUAUUUGUUUUGAAGUGAGUCGGCCCGUUUUAAAACUCAAUCUGAGUCCGACCAUUUAAAUAAACCCAAGCCUUUAUUUUUUCUGAAGUGGGUCAGCCCAUUUUAAAACUCAAUCCAAGCCCAACCAUUUAAAUAAACCCGGACCUUAUUUUUUUAAAAAGGGAAAGUGGGCCAACCCGUUUUAAAAAUGACCUGGGCCUUAUUUUUUCUGAAGCGGGCCGACUCGUUUUAAAACUCAAUCAAAGCCCAUUUUUCGAAAACAAACUCAGGCCCGAUUCACUCAAGCCCAUUCUCAUGAGUCUCAAAGCCCACACAUGACCUAGACACGUGAUAGAGCCCAUGGGGCUCGCUCGUGAUCCUAUGAAUUCACUCAACUCACUCGAGUUGAAGACGAGUUGACUCAUCCUCAACCUCACUAACCAACCUGAAACUCUAACGUUUGAAACCCUAACCCUAACUUCUAAACCAGAAACCUUAAUACCUCAAGCCCUAAAUUGCCACGCAAAUAACAACCAGCAAUCAAGCAUACACAAAAUUGAAAAAAUAUAUAUAAACAAAAAAAAAGCGCUUAUCUUCUUUGGAAGUGCGAAAGAACUCCCUGUGCAUCUAUGCUGAUCUUCCCUAUCGAGGUACUCCUAGUGAUCAUCGUUCAUUUGGGCUUCGCCAGAUCUCUCCAGAUCUGGCCGUGAAGACAAAGUAAGAGGUCGGUCGAAGCUGGGUCACCUCUAAAGAAUUGUGUGAUGUUUAUGAUUUUAGGUUUGCAAGAAUCCAAGGUUUCUGAAGAAAGGUCUAGGCUCCUGAAAUAAGAUCAAAAUAGGGACAGUUCAGAGUUAGGCACCAAAUGCUGAAAUGGUGAAGAAAGGCACAGAGAGAGAGAGAGAGAGAGAGAGAGAGAGAGAGAGAGAGAGAGAGAGAGAGUUUGGAGGUAGGUGAGAAUGGGAAGGGAAUUAUAGAGGGGCUAGGGUUUCAGGUUCGCAGCGAAUAAGAGCAAGGAAGGGCAAAGAAGAGAAGAACAGAGAGGGUGAGAGAAGAGAGAAGGGAGAGAGAGAGCAUUCGAGAGAAUGAAACAUGGAAAAAUGAACAUAAUGAAAAAAUUAGGUUUAAGUAUUUAAAGCCUCGGAGUCACAAGAUUUAACCACGCGACAUUCCAUCAUCUGUUCGAUCAAAGAAAACACGUGGCUCCCUUGUAUCCGUCUGUUUCUAUUCCCCAUCAACAACCUUGAUCUCACCGUGUUAGUACUCUGGAUAGCUGUCUGAUCCUCUCGGAUUAGCAAUGGUUAGGAUCACCUCGUUCAAAGAGGAAGCCAUCAUGAGUGUCGGCAUAAUUCUCCACUCGCCAGGUGACACAUGGCAAGUACGUGACCCUCAUCAUUAAUGCGCAUAAAAUCCUGUGAGCCAUCUCCACAAGCCAUUGGAUCAUCCCUACAUUGGAUGGAUCAGAUCAUGCCACGAUAGGAGAUCAGUGCGGAUCAAAUCCAUAUGAAUCCUUGCAUAGCACCAACGGUACAGAUCACUCCACAUCAGCAUUAGAAAUUUGUGCCCCCUCCUCACUUGCAUGAUCUGUGUCUUCUGGGGACGACUUGGAUCGCUCCACGUUGGCAAUCUGAACACCACUUGCUGCUCACCGUCGGAUUUGUCUUUUCUUUGGAUGGUGAGGAUCAAUCCACAUUAGCAAUAUGAGUACCACUUGCUGCUCACCGUUCGAUGUGUCUUUUCUUGGGACGGUAAGGAUCUCUGCACGUUAGCGAUCCGAGCGUGCCUCACCUCCAUUGUUGAAUCCCGCUUUUCCAAGAACGGCUUGGAUUGAGCCACGUCAUCAAUCCGCACCCGCACACACCCACCAAUCAGGCCACCGACAUGUGGCUCAUUUUCCCCAACACACGAAGAGUCUUGCGUGGCCACCCUGAUCACCGUUGGCUGUGUUAUCCGAGGACGGUUAGGAUUAUGCCAUGCCUAGAUCUAGGUCACAUUUGACCAGCCACUCGGCCACUGACACGUGGCAAGCCCUCCUACACACGGUCAUAUACUACUUAGUCUUUUGUGAGCCAUUCGAUCUAUGUUUCCCAAGACGGAACACAUCAUGCCACGUUUUCAAUCCAGGUCACCCUCCAUCUCCCCAUUUUUUGGUCGGCACAUAACCUUACUUAAAAGACGACACAUGGUCAAUUGUAUGACCUGACUAAAAUAGGUGUCUUUUAUCUUUAUAGGCCUGUUGCUAUAGAUAGCAUAGGAAAGUUCCUACUGUUACCCCAAAGCAACAAGACCUAUAAAGAGAGACACCUGUAGACACCCCAAUUUUAACCAGGUCUUUCCGAGACCUCAUGUCAAAUCUUCCCACAUUGUUUGUGAAUCUAUACAUCUUUGUAGGUCCCACGCUGCUUGUGGACCCCCACACAUCUUUGUAGUCCCACACUGCUAGUGGACCCCACACAUCAUUGUAGGUCACACGCUGCUUGUGGACCCCCACACUGUUUGUAGGUCCCACACCACUUGUGGACCCCACACAUCUUUGUGGGUCCUAAGCUGCUUGUGGACCCCACAUAUCUCCAUUGGAUCCCAUAAGGUUUGUAGGCCCCAUCUGUCUUGGUACGCUAGCUCGGAUUCCUACAUGUGGUACACGUUACCCAUCCUGGUACGCUAGCUCGGAUUCCUACAUGUGGUGCACAUUACACCUUUUGGUAUGCUAGCUCGGAUCCCUAUAUCCGGUGCAUACUAGCUUGGGUUCCUAUAACUCUCAAAUGGCUCGUGGACCCCACAUGGCGCGUGGGUCCCACACAUCUCCGUUGGGCUCCACACAACUUAUAGGACCCUCAUAUUAUUAUUAUUAUUAUUAUUAUUAUUAUUAUUAUUAUUAUUAUUAUUAUUUAUCUAAUUUGUCAAAUGCAAGCAUGCUUUGUUCCCUCAUCAUCACUCACCACAUAUCUUGUUUCUUCCCUUUAUCAUUCAUCCCAUUUUAUAUUUCGUUCGUCAUUCUUCACCCCAUACUUUGUUCCCCCCAUCAUCACUCAUCACAUGUUUUGUUCCUCUCUUUAUCAUUCAUCAAAUGCUAUAUUUCCUUCAUCAUUUUUCAUCUCAUACUUUGUUCCCCCCAUCAUCACUCACCACAUGUCAUGUUUCCUCCCUUUAUCAUUCGUCCCAUGCUAUAUUCCCUUCAUCAUUCUUCAUCGCAUACUUUAUUCCCCCCAUCAUCACUCACCACAUGCUUUGUUCAUUUCUUUAUCAUUCUUCCCAUGCUAUAUUCCCUUCAUCAUCAUUCAUCCCAUAUUUUGUUCCCCCCAUCAUCACUCACCACAUCCUUUGUUCCUUUCUUUUUUAUUCUUCCUAUGUUAUAUUCCCUUCAUCAUUCUUCACCCCAUAUUUUGUUCCCCCCAUCAUCACUCCCCUAUGUCUUCUUUCUCAUGCUUAUCACAAGUUAAGUCUAUAAAUAGUCUUCUCAUUCCAAGCACAAAGGAGGAGUUCUUGAUGGUGGUAAGGAGAAGAUUUCGAAUAUUAAAGUCUUCUAUUAUAAGUUUGUGAAGUUAGUUUUUUUUAGUGGUAAGGAGAAGAUUUUGAAUAUUGAAGUCUUCUACUGAAUGAGGUUACGUUUCAUUCUCUUAGAUGAUCAAGUGGUCGAUUGAUCUCGUUUCCUACUGGUGCCGAGUCACGCCAUUUGAAGAAGGCACUCCGUAGUGCCUCGAGUCAGAGCUCAAGAACAACUCUCGGGAAGACGCUGUAGACUGGCCCCAGUAGACUCACCGGCAGGAAAAGAAGACCGGAGGAGAGGAAAAAGAAAGAAGAUCAAGCGGUUGACCGAUUCCAUUUCCUACCGGUGUCGAGUCACUCCAUUUGAAGAAGGCACUCCGUAGUGCCUCGAGUCAGAGCUUAAGAACAACUCUCGGGAAGAUGUUGUAGACUGGCCCCAGUAGACUCUCCGACAAGAAAAAAGACCGGAGGGGAGGAAAACGAAAGGUAAAACUAAUAGAUUUUCCCUUCUUGGGUUACAUUUUAAAGUAUAAUAAACGGGAUAUGAAGUUGUGAAUCAAAGACUCAAACCCAAAGUUAGGUUCAAUCUCGAACCUAAACCUCGUUUAUCUCUCUCCGAAUUGUUUGAACCCUUGAAUUAGUAUGGAGCCGAUUUAUUGUUUUAUUUAGUAUGUUUUUUUUUUCUUUGAAUGACUAAUGAUUCAAAAAACCCAUAAAAAUCAUAAAAUGCCAAAAAAAAAUCACAAAAGUUUUUUUAGGAAAAAUUCCAAAAAGAUUUUCAAACUUUAACUUCUAUGAGUUUUGUUUUAAUUUUAUUUGUGCUAUUUUGAAGUUUGGGAAAAAUAUUGAAAAAUCAUAAAGUCAAAAAAAUGUUUUCACACUUGGAAAAAAUUACAAAAACAUUUUCAAGGUCCAAUAAAUCAUUUUCACCCCGAAUGAGCCGAAAACCUCCCAAGGUUUCAAAAAUGUCAAUUUUCCUUACUAAAAAAAAAUCCUAUAAAUUUCAAAAUACCUGAGAGUUAUUUUUUGUAAAAAAAAAAAAAACCUAUUUUCUCUAUUUUCUGAUCCCAAUGAUUGCAAGGAAGGGCGUUGAGUUUUUCGAAGCAUGAUAUGCCCUGGUUCUGAGGGAAUACCUAUAUGUUAUUUAUUUUUAUUUUUUUUGGUAUUUGUUUUACAAUUUUAAAAAGGGGAGUAAUUUUAAAGGCUAAUUAAAUUAAUUUUUGAGAUAAUUUUCAAUUAAUCUGUUAUCAUUCAUAAGAAUGGGCGUGUAGGGGGUCUGAAGACCUUCCCCUUGCGUAACCGUACUCCGGACCCCGUCUUUGGUAAUGCAGACCGAUUCUAUUCUUAAUUGGGUAGUAAUCAAGUGUUCUAAUCACACUAAAAGGUUAGUGGCGACUCCAUUACACUAUUUUUCACGAAAAUUUAAAAUUCACUUUUCAUUCGCUUUGUUUCGCUUGGGAACGUUGCGACACCUUCGACACGUGGUCAACAACUUUAGCACAAAAGUACACGGUGUCAAUCUUAAGUGUAUGGCUGAGCGAGCAAGAAGGAAGCAUCAGGUAAGAAAAUAUAACGUGUGGAUGGAUAGGAUAUUCGAUGAGGGUGGGGAACCUGCGAAGUCUUUUUUUGAUCAGAUCCCUCCUCAUAUGUGGACUCAGUGCCACGACGGUGAUAGAAGGUAUGGGAACAUGACCACUAACCUUGUGGAAUGUUUCAACGCCGUCCUAAAAGGCGUUCGUAGCCUCCCAAUCAUGGCCCUUGUGCAACUGACAUUUUUUCGCGUUGCACAUUAUUUCAACAGCCGACAGGAGGCUGCUCGUAACGCAAUAUCGGGGAGAAAAUUCAUUCAAUUCCCAUAUAUUGCUAGCGAUAAAAAGAAAAGGAAGUUGAAGGCGAUCGGACAUCGGGUCACGACGUUCAACCGAUCUAGGGGUACUUUUAGCAUCACGACCGUGCAGUUGGGAUUCCAUAAAGGAAACAACGUCCAAACUUUGAGCAUUUAGGAUAGACGCGAAUGCUCAUAUGGGAAGUGGCAAGCGUUACACUUUUCAUGCUCCCACCUUCUCGCUACAUGUGCAAAGAUACGGCUGAAUGCUAUGCAGUACGUUGAGUCAUGUUGGAGCACUAUCAAAUACUAUGCGACAUAUGUUGUGAAUUUUUAUCCGAUUAUGCAUGAGGCGUACUAGCCAGCAUCCUUGUUGCUGACUAUACAGACAAAUCUUGCAUAUGCUCGACAUAAAGGUCGGCCUAAAAGCUCCCAUAUACACAAUGAGAUGGACGCAAGGGAAGGUAGGAAGAGGAGCAUGUGCAGCAUAUGUCAUCAAGAAGGACAUAACCGCACAAGGUAUCCGAGAAGGACCCAACCCGGGGAUGCAGCUAGACCGUCGCAUUGACUUCGUACGCACUUAUAGGACUUUUAGUACACUUCUUCUUUUGUAUAUAUUUAUUAUAUUGCGAUGGUGCAUUUUGCAGGAUUGAUCUAGGGCCGUGUGAUCCGAGCGCCUUGAUGAUGGGCGAUGAUCACCGAGCCAGCCGAGUGUAAGCCAAUGGACACGCCGACCCCUUGCUCUAUUAAGAGGGCAUGCGGUUUGCGGAGCGCUAGUUUGAGGCAGACGACCACAUCAUCCGCUAGAUACGCGAUGCAGGGUUUAAUGGUAUUUAUCAGAUUGUCCAUAUUUAGCUGGAUUGACAUCUCGUGACAGCUUUGGUGGAGCGAUGGAGACCUGUGGCACACACAUUCCAUCUACCUCAUAGGGAGACGACCGUCACACUCUAGGAUGUCGCUGUUUUGUUUAGGCUGCCGAUUGAUGGGCUACCCGUCACUGGUCGUACUAUCAGGCCAGUAGAGAUACCUACAGACCGUCGGGGAUGACUCGCCCUGCGUACUCUGUGCAAGUGUUUGUUAGGAGUUGUGUUACUUGAUAGCGAGUUGGUUGGUGCACGUAUCCGUAUGCGGUUCCUCAAGGGGGAUGUGUUUCGUCUGCUCCUGACAGAUGCAGAUGUACAGACUAUAGCGUGCCACGCACGAGACCACUUGUUGCGUUUGAUAUGUGGGGUGAUAUUUUGUGACAUUUCAAGCAGCUAUGCGUAUCUGAUGUUCCUUCCACUCCAUGUGGACUUAGGAGCGUGUCGCAAGUACAGUUGGGGGUCUUCUACUUUGGUUUGGCUUUAGAGGGAGAUGUGUCGCGCCACUCACUACUCGAAGACACAGAUUACUGGCCCAUUUCGCCUACUACAUAUUUGGGCCUGGGAGAGAUUUUUGUCUUUAGCUCCUACGCGGCGAGGUUUCCUAUACAUUCAAAGGGGCCACGACGGUCGUCCGGUUGACCCACUCCCGCUCACAUACCGAUGGAGGGACGACUUAAGGGCACCGAUGGUUGCGCUACACACAUUGCCCUGGUAUAGGUUCGAGUUGGACAUGCAUCGGGAGCAUGAGUUCUUGUGGAGGCCCUACAUGGCUGAGAUUCUAACCGACCUACCUCUUCAUUAUGCAGUCGGGAGUGGCCUUUGGGUAGCCCGAGUGCCACUUAUAUGGUUUCAUAUUAUCGAGUGGUAUCUCCCCGACCGAGUCAUGCGGCAAUUUGGGUAUUGACAAGGCAUCUUGAUUGCUUUCUAACGUCAGGGGUAGAUGUAGUUGGGGAUGACCUCCACGGCAUGGAUGGGCGCGGUCGAGCGGUCACGGACUGGGCGACUACACGCGCGAUAUUCAUGACUGUGUGGGAGCAUCGAUGAGAGUACAUCGUACCAGGAGUGUUGGAGGACGGUCCGAUGCGUUUGGAUGACCCAUACUUCACCUGGUAUAGGUCCAUCACACGUCGCUUCGUCGACAAGACUACUGCUAUAUAUUUAAGCCUCGCUGACAUAGUACAUGAGGCAAAUGAAAUCUCGUCAGAUGCUGUUAUCCACCAAUUGAUGAGUGUUGCAUUGAACCUUGUCCAUAAGGAUGGUCAAUGGAUCCCAGCUGCUCAACCUGAUGCACCAGCACGAGGAGGUUGACCAGCUCCAAUACGAGGAGGAUGACAUGCCUCCUCUAGUCGUCCAUUGAGUCCCAUCUCCUCGCCACCGGUUGUACAGGCGGAGUACGUGUUCGGUCCGUCAGCAUCGUAUGCGCCUUCCAGUGCAACUGAUAUUGUGGGACCGUCUAGUAGACCGAAUGAUGCCCUAUCUGACUCUGCUGCCACCCAAUCAAUGUCAUUUUUAUUGGACGACAUUUUCGAUGGGGAGGAGGUCGAUGCACCCGCUAUGCCGCCUCGUUCUUGUCCAGAGACAUCAUAUCAGUUUUUAUCGUGUGCGUUUCACAUGGAUGAUGAUUACGCAGUACCUCUUGGAGGAGAUGAUCCACAUCCAAGACGACGGGAUAGGACACCUAAUGCAGGUGACCAAUAGGGAGAGGGCAAACACAGACGGCAACCACCAUGACCCCGUAGACAACUUCGCUGCGGCAUCGAGUAGUUUAGCAUUAUUUUCAUUUCAUUUGUAUGUAUAUCAUUGAUUAUUUUUAUUUCAUUUGUAUAGUAUUGAUUAUUUUUAUUCCAUUUGUAUAUCAUUGAUUAUUUUCAUUUCACUUGUAUAGCAUUUGAUUAUUUUCAUUUCAUUUGUAUAGUCAUGUGUCUUGUGCACACUUCAUACUCUUGAACUUAGUAUUUGAGUUUAUUUAUUUAUUUAUUUUAUCUAU
Molecule: long non-coding RNA, 24057 nt
Organism: Malania oleifera
Lineage: Eukaryota; Viridiplantae; Streptophyta; Magnoliopsida; Santalales; Ximeniaceae
Exons: 4
Source: RefSeq, a predicted model, not a curated record